UUCGAUUCACUCCUCUGUUUGUUUCUCUCUCCACCCAUUUCCAAUCACUCACAAACACCCGACGGAAAACGUGAAAACGACCUACCACCACUUCCAUCACCGGAAUCAGCCAUGUACGUCCGGCACAUCGGAUUCCGGCCGCCGUCGACAACCUUCCCCCGCUGAAUUGCCACCAAUCCCUUUUAACAAUCGAACGACAAGACGGGAAAGAAUAAAACAUCCGAGUAUAGCCCCGGAUAAAUAUCUAAUUCUUAUAUUUCACCCAUAAUUUUUCCCCUUCUUUUCACUUGUAC
This 293-nucleotide long non-coding RNA is filed under the name Panax ginseng (ginseng). RNAcentral describes it as "long non-coding RNA (PGIN_LNC004754)". Lineage: Eukaryota; Viridiplantae; Streptophyta; Magnoliopsida; Apiales; Araliaceae. The record is from RNAcentral.